GCUGGAGAGGACAGGUCCGCAUAGGUGGCCGGCCUGCGGUGGGCUCCUGAAGAAGAACGUAGGACAGGAAUCGGCUCCUGGCAGCGGCGGUUGGAAGAUUGGGCAAGGAAACAUGGUUUUGGGGCCAGACUCUAAAGCAAAGUUAGUGGGAAGCAUAGUUCUUAGUUAAUGACAGCAGUAGCCAGCCAAGGAUGCAGGGGACAGGUGCUGCAAACUGACUUCAGGCUGUGGAUGUCUGGCUGGGAGAGAAGUACGAAACCCCGAAAGUGGUCCUUCCAGUCGUGAUCUGCCUGGGGCAGCCUGUGGUGGAGAUGGCUCUAGCCCUGGUGCCUACCAGCAUCCUGAGUGGGAGCCACAGAGCCAUGUAGACAGGCAGCUAGCACUGUGCCAGCUAUGUGGGGUUGACUGGCUCUGGGAAAAGCUGUUGGCAGUGCAGGUGGCUGGCGACAGGAUGGAGUGUGAGGCCUGGCACCAGGAUGGUGACGCAGAAGCCCGAGUGCUCAGCAGGGCUGGGGUCCUGGCUGCUCUGAGGGUGUGACUGGUGCAGACGCCUCCACAGGAGGACGCUGAGCCCUCUGGGCCACAGGAGGAUGCUGAGCCCUCUGGACCAGCGUGGAGUUGCAGAACCACGUCAGGACUACUGGGCCUAAGAUCUGAAGAGACCCCCAGGGCAGAAGCCAUUUCUUGCCCACCCCAAAUGAUGGUGACUCCAGCUUCCCAUCAGAUCUGGUGAUGAUCUGCUUCAAGUUUCAAAAGCAAGCCAAAAGGCACAUCAAACAUGAAUGAAGCCACAUCACUACUCUGUUCAGAGGUCAUCAAGAGCAUCGCAUCAGACAGCCGAAGCUCCAACCUUCAUGCACAGGCCUAUGUGACCUGACUUCCUGUCCUCCCAGUCCCUGGGCUCCUGGGCCAGGUCCUGCUUGCUCCCACAUCUGCUUGGGUCUAGCCUCCUCCCCUCACUCUGGACAGAACUGGUUCAAUGCCCAUCUCUUUCAGAGUUCCAUGAAGUCCCCACCUCACCACGUCCCUGAAAGCCCUGUGUAACUUAACUGCCUCUCCCACACAUUUUCCCGCCUUCCCUCUCUAUUCUUAUCCUUAGCACUUACCACUUCCCAACAAGUACUCAUUAGUUACUUAAUUACUGUCUUAUUAAGAAUGCAAAGUUCCUACAGGCACGGGUGUCUCUUUUCCUCACUGAUGUACCUCUAGAACUGAGCACACAGUUGGAGCUUUCUAUAUUUGCUUAGUAAAUCUGUGAAUAAAUGAAUCCUGAAGGAACGAACACAGAGGGAGCACGCUGAUUGGAGUUUAGAGACCAAGGAAGGCUGGGGGGCUCAAUUGCUAAAGAGCUUGCCUAGCUAUCGUGCACCAAGCACAGGUCCCAUCCCCAGUACCCAAUACAGUUAGUGUGGCCGUGCCUGUGUAAGCUGUCGGGUCAGACACUUCAGUGCAAGUACAUCAACCCCACAGAUGGCACUACGGCUCUGGGCUACACUUCUACCAUUUCCAGUUAGCACAUGCAUGGGGAACAGACCAUGAGAGCAUCUAAUUGUGAAUAAUCGGUCUGUCUCAUUCUGAAUUAUUUUCUUCCAAGCAUGACUGCUGUCACUCCUAGUUUGCUUGUGGCCUGGGUCACGGCAUCAAUGUGGGGGCAACGGGAUGAUGGGAACUUCAGCAUGAUGGAAGUAGCUCCAGGAAACCAUGCAAAGCCUUUCCAAUUAAGAGCAACCAUCUGCGAUGGGAUCCAACGCCCUCUUCCGGUGAAGACAGCUACA
Molecule: non-coding RNA, 1775 nt
Organism: Arvicanthis niloticus (Nile rat)
Lineage: Eukaryota; Metazoa; Chordata; Mammalia; Rodentia; Muridae
Source: RefSeq, a predicted model, not a curated record